UCCACAGAUCCAGAUUUGAGAAGGAGUUUUAUGAUUCAGAUAUAUGAUUCGAUCAUAAAUAAAUUUUUAAUCUCUAAAAUUAGAUGCUUUAUGUCUUAUUUAUCAUUAUAUGAACUAGAUCAAUAGGUAUAAAAUUUUGAUCGAUACAUGUGUAGGAUUAAAACUGUUUUAAUCUUGACCUCUACUGCUUAAAUUCAAAAUUAUUUUGAAAUCUGUAUAUAAAAUAACUAAAAUCUAACAGUAGCAACAGAUUUAUAUGUAUGAGAAUAAGAUGAGAUCU
This 280-nucleotide long non-coding RNA is filed under the name Elaeis guineensis (African oil palm). Its description in RNAcentral is "long non-coding RNA (EGUI_LNC079399)". Lineage: Eukaryota; Viridiplantae; Streptophyta; Magnoliopsida; Arecales; Arecaceae. The record is from RNAcentral.